Molecule: ribosomal RNA, 253 nt
Filed under: uncultured bacterium
Lineage: Bacteria
Description: partial 16S ribosomal RNA
Rfam family: Bacterial small subunit ribosomal RNA
Source: RNAcentral
UACGUAGGGAGCAAGCGUUGUCCGGAAUCAUUGGGCGUAAAGCGCGCGUAGGUGGCUCUGUAAGUCCGUUGUGAAAGUCAAAGGCUCAACCUUUGAAAGCCGAUGGAUACUGCGGAGCUAGAGUGCGGUAGAGGGGUGUGGAAUUCCCGGUGUAGCAGUGAAAUGCGUAGAUAUCGGGAGGAACAUCUGUGGCGAAGGCGACACCCUGGACCAGCACUGACACUGAGGCACGAAAGCGUGGGGAGCAAACAGG